Gasterosteus aculeatus aculeatus (three-spined stickleback) is the source of this 1186-nucleotide long non-coding RNA. NCBI's taxonomy places the organism in Eukaryota, Metazoa, Chordata, Actinopteri, Perciformes, Gasterosteidae. The record is from Ensembl.
AAGUCGGAAAACCCGAAUUCUGUUCAGAGUUCAGCCGCUGGGGGCGCCACGGCAACCAACCGCCACGGCAACCGCCCCCGCUCCAUUCUGCAGGGGCGCCGCCCCCCUCAACCAGGAAGGGGUCAGUCGGUUGUUGCUAGGCAACGGUUACAGCUGGGGGCACGGAACAGAUGGCUCCGUUUUUGGUUUAUUGGCAGAGUUUUCAGGAAGCGAAGAUUGAAUCAGUGGAGUUUGAGAUAAAAAUCACAAACCAAUCAAUAUUCUCCAUGUGGGACACGAGAAGAUGAUGAAGACGAGAUCACAGGGGAUUAAUCUAAAGCCUUUCGCUAACAAUUAUUUUACUCCUUCAAACGUCCUCACUGACCCUGUGGACAGUCAAUUUUACAGUUUUCUCUAAACCUCCAGCAAUACGUUUGUCUUCUCUAUUCGGCCAUUUGAUUAAAAAGAUAUUUAAGAUGCUACACAGACUUUUUCCUGUCAACGCUUAAAGGACAUUAUUGGACACGCUGUAGCAAUAUUUUUUCAUUAACAUUUCUCUGGUAUACUAGUGUACUGUGACCUGCAAGAUACUUUACAGUCGUGGGUCAAUUCGGUGCUUUGAGGAAAACAUCUUACUGUCAUAAAAGAUCAUAGUACGGAAUGUAAAAAAAUAUGUCCUUGUACAGUAUGUCAGACUGUACAGUACUAUGAGUCAUGUUAUGGCACGUUGAAAAACGUCAUGCCAUAAAAAGGUCAUAAAAGCAUCACUAUGUUAUUUAAAGGCCAUCUUAUAAUGUGUCAUGUUAUUUGAGCUUCGGAUCUGAAGCUUCACGUAAAAACACCUUCUUCUUCCUCAGGAAAAACAAAAUGGCUGCCAGUCAGUCAUCGCGGGGAACGGUUUCGUUUCUCCACACCGGAUUGUUCACAUUAAUUAUUCAUUUUAAAUGGUGGAAUUUUCAUCCUUCGCUGGGGAAAUAGAAGCAGUCACGUCUCCAUGGCAACAUGAAGAAAUUCAUACGGCGCGCCAUAAAAAUGUCAAGAGUGCAGUUUGUCAUUAAAAAAAGUCAUAAAAACAAAAAGGAUCACGUCUCCAUGUGCGGCUGUUGCUAUGGCAAUAAGAUCUGGACGGAUAAAAGCUCGCGCUUUGGGGUUCAAAGGUUUACCGUGAUGUUCCUGCAUACGUACUUAUUCUUGUGUGCGUUUCUCA